CUGUUGGGUAGGGGAGCGUUGUGUAAGCGGAUGAAGGUGAACUGAGAGGUUUGCUGGACGUAUCACAAGUGCGAAUGCUGACAUAAGUAACGAUAAAACGGGUGAAAAACCCGUUCGCCGGAAGACCAAGGUUUCCUGUCCAACGUUAAUCGGGGCAGGGUGAGUCGGCCCCUAAGGCGAGGCUGAAAAGCGUAGUCGAUGGGAAACGGGUUAAUAUUCCCGUACUUGGUAAAGCUGCGAUGUGGGGACGGAGCAGGUUAGGUUAGCGUGCGGUUGGAUGUGCACGUUUAAGCUGGUAGUUGGGGUAGGUAGGCAAAUCCGCUUAUCCAAUAAAAACAACGAGAGGUGAUGACGAGGCCCUAAGGGGCUGAAGUAACUGAUACCACACUUCCAGGAAAAGCCACUAAGCUUCAGGCUUUACUAAACCGUACUGAAAACCGACACAGGUGGUCAGGUAGAGAAUACUCAGGCGCUUGAGAGAACUCGGGUGAAGGAACUAGGCAAAAUAGCACCGUAACUUCGGGAGAAGGUGCGCUGGCGUAGGUUGUAGGAGUUAACCUCCGAAGGCUGAACCAGUCGAAGUGACCCGCUGGCUGCAACUGUUUAUUAAAAACACAGCACUCUGCAAACACGAAAGUGGACGUAUAGGGUGUGAUGCCUGCCCGGUGCUGGAAGGUUAAUUGAUGGUGUCAUCGCAAGAGAAGCACCUGAUCGAAGCCCCAGUAAACGGCGGCCGUAACUAUAACGGUCCUAAGGUAGCGAAAUUCCUUGUCGGGUAAGUUCCGACCUGCACGAAUGGCAUAAUGAUGGCCAGGCUGUCUCCACCCGAGACUCAGUGAAAUUGAAAUCGCCGUGAAGAUGCGGUGUACCCGCGGCUAGACGGAAAGACCCCGUGAACCUUUACUAUAGCUUGACACUGAACAUUGAAUUUUGAUGUGUAGGAUAGGUGGGAGACUAAGAAGUGUGAACGCCAGUUUGCAUGGAGUCGACCUUGAAAUACCACCCUUUAACGUUUGGUGUUCUAACGAGGCACCCUAAUCGGGUGUUCGGACAGUGUCUGGUGGGUAGUUUGACUGGGGCGGUCUCCUCCCAAAGCGUAACGGAGGAGCACGAAGGUUUGCUAAUCACGGUCGGACAUCGUGAGGUUAGUGCAAUGGUAUAAGCAAGCUUAACUGCGAGACAGACAAGUCGAGCAGGUACGAAAGUAGGUCAUAGUGAUCCGGUGGUUCUGCAUGGAAGGGCCAUCGCUCAACGGAUAAAAGGUACUCCGGGGAUAACAGGCUGAUACCGCCCAAGAGUUCAUAUCGACGGCGGUGUUUGGCACCUCGAUGUCGGCUCAUCACAUCCUGGGGCUGAAGUAGGUCCCAAGGGUAUGGCUGUUCGCCAUUUAAAGUGGUACGCGAGCUGGGUUUAGAACGUCGUGAGACAGUUCGGUCCCUAUCUGCCGUGGGCGUAGGAGAAUUGAGAGGGGCUGCUCCUAGUACGAGAGGACCGGAGUGGACGCACCACUGGUGUUUCGGUUGUAUCGCCAGAUGCAUUGCCGAGUAGCUAAGUGCGGAAGAGAUAAGUGCUGAAAGCAUCUAAGCACGAAACUUGCCUCAAGAUGAGUUCUCCCAGACUUUAUGUCUGUAAGGGUUGUUUGAGACUAAGACGUAGAUAGGUGGGGUGUGUAAGUAUUGUGAGAUAUUGAGCUAACCCAUACUAAUUGCCCGAGCGGCUUAACUAUACAACGCUCAAG
This 1738-nucleotide ribosomal RNA is filed under the name Rodentibacter trehalosifermentans. RNAcentral describes it as "bacterial LSU rRNA". It matches the Rfam family "Bacterial large subunit ribosomal RNA", at positions 1221 to 2925 of the family's 2925-position model. Lineage: Bacteria; Pseudomonadati; Pseudomonadota; Gammaproteobacteria; Pasteurellales; Pasteurellaceae. The record is from RNAcentral.